AGGACGAGAGGGAAGGGAAUGAAGUCUCUUCUUCUGAUUCUGGCUCUAUAGGGCUUGUUUCCUACACGGAGGCUGCGCUUGCAGCUCUGGAGGAUGCAAAUCUUGAAACCUUUCGGCAUACGCUGCGGGGACUCACAAGAAUUGCCUCUGACGAGGACUUUGUGAAUGCUUCAAGAGAUGCCGAGCGCUUGUUUGCGAGACUAAACUCGCAGCACUUCUCUGUCUUCAAGCAAGCACUUAG
Molecule: long non-coding RNA, 241 nt
Organism: Selaginella moellendorffii
Lineage: Eukaryota; Viridiplantae; Streptophyta; Lycopodiopsida; Selaginellales; Selaginellaceae
Exons: 3
Source: RefSeq, a predicted model, not a curated record